Molecule: ribosomal RNA, 377 nt
Filed under: uncultured bacterium
Lineage: Bacteria
Description: bacterial SSU rRNA
Rfam family: Bacterial small subunit ribosomal RNA
Source: RNAcentral
GUACUUUCAGCAGUGAGGAAGGUUCAUGCGUUAAUAGCGUAUGGAUUUGACGUUAGCUGCAGAAGAAGCACCGGCUAACUCCGUGCCAGCAGCCGCGGUAAUACGGAGGGUGCGAGCGUUAAUCGGAAUUACUGGGCGUAAAGCGCAUGCAGGUGGUUUGUUAAGUUCAGAUGUGAAAGACCCGGGGCGUCAACCUCGGAAUUGCAUUUGAAACUAGGCAGACUAGAGUACUGUAGAGGGGGGUAGGAAUUUCAGGUGUAGCGGUGAAAUGCGUAGAGAUCUGAAGGAAUACCGGUGGCGAAGGCGGCCCCCUCGGACAGAUACUGACACUCAGAUGCGAAAGCGUGGGGAGCAAACAGGAUUAGAUACCCUGGUAG